GACGAACGCUGGCGGCGUGCCUAAUACAUGCAAGUAGAACGCUGAAGGAGGAGCUUGCUUCUCUGGAUGAGUUGCGAACGGGUGAGUAACGCGUAGGUAACCUGCCUGGUAGCGGGGGAUAACUAUUGGAAACGAUAGCUAAUACCGCAUAAGAGUAGAUGUUGCAUGACAUUUGCUUAAAAGGUGCAAUUGCAUCACUACCAGAUGGACCUGCGUUGUAUUAGCUAGUUGGUGGGGUAACGGCUCACCAAGGCGACGAUACAUAGCCGACCUGAGAGGGGGAUCGGCCACACUGGGACGGAGACACGGCCCAGACUCCUACGGGAGGCAGCAGUAGGGAAUCUUCGGCAAUGGACGGAAGUCUAACCGAGCAACGCCGAGUGAGUGGAGAAGGUUUUCGGAUCGGAAAGCUCGGUUGUAAGAGAAGAACGAGUGUGAGAGUGGAAAGUUCACACUGUGACGGUAUCUUACCAGAAAGGGACGGCUAACUACGUG
This 495-nucleotide ribosomal RNA is filed under the name uncultured bacterium. RNAcentral's name for it is "partial 16S ribosomal RNA". It matches the Rfam family "Bacterial small subunit ribosomal RNA", at positions 28 to 507 of the family's 1533-position model. The record is from RNAcentral.